GAUGAACGCUGGCGGCGUGCCUAACACAUGCAAGUCGAACGAGAGAUGAGGAGCUUGCUCUUCAGAUCGAGUGGCGAACGGGUGAGUAACGCGUGAGGAACCUGCCUCAAAGAGGGGGACAACAGUUGGAAACGACUGCUAAUACCGCAUAAGCCCACGGCUCGGCAUCGAGCAGGGGGAAAAGGAGCAAUCCGCUUUGAGAUGGCCUCGCGUCCGAUUAGCUAGUUGGUGAGGUAACGGCCCACCAAGGCGACGAUCGGUAGCCGGACUGAGAGGUUGAACGGCCACAUUGGGACUGAGACACGGCCCAGACUCCUACGGGAGGCAGCAGUGGGGAAUAUUGCACAAUGGGCGCAAGCCUGAUGCAGCAACGCCGCGUGGAGGAAGACGGUUUUCGGAUUGUAAACUCCUGUUCUUAGUGAAGAAUAAUGACGGUAGCUAAGGAGCAAGCCACGGCUAACUACGUG
Molecule: ribosomal RNA, 467 nt
Filed under: uncultured bacterium
Lineage: Bacteria
Description: bacterial SSU rRNA
Rfam family: Bacterial small subunit ribosomal RNA
Source: RNAcentral